Molecule: ribosomal RNA, 254 nt
Filed under: uncultured bacterium
Lineage: Bacteria
Description: partial 16S ribosomal RNA
Rfam family: Bacterial small subunit ribosomal RNA
Source: RNAcentral
UACGUAGGGGGCAAGCGUUGUUCGGAUUUACUGGGCGUAAAGGGCGCGUAGGCGGCGCGUACAGUCUGACAUGAAAUCAUUGGGCUUAACCCGAUGGCUGUGCCCGAUACUUGCGUGCUUAGAGUGCGGGAGAGGCAAUCGGAAUUCUCGGUGUAGCGGUGAAAUGCGUAGAUAUCGAGAGGAACUCCGGUGACGAAGGUGGGUUGCUGGACCGACUCUGACGCUGAGGCGCGAAAGCUAGGGGAGCAAACGGG